RNAcentral lists this unclassified non-coding RNA (375 nucleotides) under uncultured Agaricomycetes. RNAcentral's name for it is "partial contains 5.8S ribosomal RNA, internal transcribed spacer 2, and large subunit ribosomal RNA". The stretch from base 1 to 102 matches the Rfam family "5.8S ribosomal RNA", at positions 53 to 154 of the family's 154-position model. Lineage: Eukaryota; Fungi; Basidiomycota; Agaricomycetes. The record is from RNAcentral.
AUGCGAUAAGUAAUGUGAAUUGCAGAAUUCAGUGAAUCAUCGAAUCUUUGAACGCACCUUGCGCUCCUUGGCAUUCCGAGGAGCAUGCCUGUUUGAGUGUCGUUGAAUUCUCAUCCCCGUCAUCGCUACAUUGUAGCACUGCGGGUGUGGAUUGGUGGAGGUCUUGCAGGUGGGGAAUUAAUUCCCUCUGCUCCUCUGAAAUGCAUUGUUGGCGUGCGCACCGAAUCCAGGCCAUUGGUCUGGAUCGCGUGGGCAGCUGAAGUGACGAACCCCGUCGUCGGUAUGAUAUAUUAAUGGGUCUUACCAACGUCGGACGGUUGUCGUGCUACUCAGAUAUUUGACCUCAAAUCAGGCAGGACUACCCGCUGAACUUAA